This 617-nucleotide ribosomal RNA is filed under the name uncultured Acidobacteriota bacterium. RNAcentral's name for it is "bacterial SSU rRNA". It matches the Rfam family "Bacterial small subunit ribosomal RNA", at positions 65 to 657 of the family's 1533-position model. Lineage: Bacteria; Pseudomonadati; Acidobacteriota. The record is from RNAcentral.
AACGAGAAACUCGCCUUCGGGCGGGCGGUAAAGUGGCGGACGGGUGAGUAACACGUGGGUAACCUGCCCUUGAGUCUGGAAUAACUCGUCGAAAGGUGAGCUAAUACCGGAUACCGUUUCCGGUUCCUCGGAACUGGAAACGAAAGGUGGCCUCUGCUUGCAUGCUAUCGCUUGAGGAGGGGCCCGCGGCCCAUUAGCUAGUUGGUGAGGUAACGGCUCACCAAGGCGACGAUGGGUAGCCAGCUUGAGAGGGCGAUUGGCCACACUGGAACUGAGACACGGUCCAGACUCCUACGGGAGGCAGCAGUGAGGAAUUUUGCGCAAUGGGCGAAAGCCUGACGCAGCAACGCCGCGUGGAUGAUGAAGGUCUUCGGGUCGUAAAAUCCUGUCAGGUGGGAAGAAAUCGGAGAGGUGAAUAUCCUUUUCGUCUGACUGUACCACCAGAGGAAGCCCCGGCUAACUCCGUGCCAGCAGCCGCGGUAAUACGGAGGGGGCAAGCGUUGUUCGGAAUUACUGGGCGUAAAGGGCGCGUAGGCGGUUGGGUGUGUCUGACGUGAAAGCCCUUGGCUUAACCAAGGAAGUGCGUCUUAUACUGCCCGACUCGAGUCCGGGAGAGG